Molecule: long non-coding RNA, 204 nt
Organism: Poeciliopsis prolifica (blackstripe livebearer)
Lineage: Eukaryota; Metazoa; Chordata; Actinopteri; Cyprinodontiformes; Poeciliidae
Exons: 3
Source: RefSeq, a predicted model, not a curated record
GGUAACUUCGCCAAACUUCACUUUGAACAUCUUUCCUCAUUUUGGUUCCUGCUCAGCUGUUAACAUCGACUUUAUUCUCCAAAGUGAUAAGUUCUGUUGGAGAGAACCUGUUUACCACAUCUGAGUCUAUCAAAGAGGAAAAAAGAGCAUAACGAUGCGCAUCCUUCCUGUUUGCCUGGUUGUCUGUUCGCUGCUGGUCCUGGU